GGAGAAUUAGCUCAGCUGGGAGAGCAUCUGCCUUACAAGCAGAGGGUCGGCGGUUUCGAACCCGUCAUUCUCCACCA
Molecule: transfer RNA, 77 nt
Filed under: Staphylococcus aureus
Lineage: Bacteria; Bacillati; Bacillota; Bacilli; Caryophanales; Staphylococcaceae
Description: tRNA-Val
Rfam family: tRNA
About the family: Transfer RNA (tRNA) molecules are approximately 80 nucleotides in length. Their secondary structure includes four short double-helical elements and three loops (D, anti-codon, and T loops).
Source: RNAcentral